RNAcentral lists this ribosomal RNA (478 nucleotides) under uncultured bacterium. RNAcentral describes it as "partial 16S ribosomal RNA". It matches the Rfam family "Bacterial small subunit ribosomal RNA", at positions 28 to 507 of the family's 1533-position model. The record is from RNAcentral.
GACGAACGCUGGCGGCGUGCUUAACACAUGCAAGUCGAACGGGAUUUAGUAAACGUAAGCCUCGGUGGAAGAUUACUAAUGAGAGGGGCGAACGGGUGAGUAACGCGUGAGCAACCUGCCUAUGACAGUGGGAUAGCCUCGUGAAACCGGGAUUAAUACCGCAUAAAAUCGUAGAAACACAUGUUUCAACGGUCAAAGAUUUAUCGGUCAUAGAUGGGCUCGCGUCUGAUUAGCUAGUUGGUGAGAUAACAGCCCACCAAGGCGACGAUCAGUAGCCGGUCUGAGAGGAUGAACGGCCACAUUGGAACUGAGACACGGUACAAACUCCUACGGGAGGCAGGAGUGGGGAAUAUUGCACCAUGGGGGAAACCCUGAUGCAGCGACGCCGCGUGAACGAAGAAGGUAUUCGUAUCGUAAAGUUCUGUCCUAUGGGAAGAUAAUGACAGUACCAUAGAAGAAAGCUCCGGCUAAAUACGUG